CCUACGGGAGGCAGCAGUGAGGAAUAUUGGUCAAUGGACGCAAGUCUGAACCAGCCAUGCAGCGUGCAGGAUGACUGCCCUAUGAGUUGUAAACUUCUUUUGUACGAGGGUAAACGCAGACACGCGUACCUGUUUGAAUGUAUCUUAUGAAUAAGGAUCGGCUAACUCCGUGCCAGCAGCCGCGGUAAUACGGAGGAUCCGAGCGUUAUCCGGAUUUAUUGGGUUUAAAGGGUGCGUAGGCGGUCGGUUAAGUUAGUGGUGAAAUCCUGAGGCUCAACUUCGGAAUUGCCUUUGAUACUGUUCGGCUAGAGAGUAGUUGAGGUAGGCGGAAUGUAUGGUGUAGCGGUGAAAUGCUUAGAGAUCAUACAGAACACCGAUUGCGAAGGCAGCUUACCAAGCUACUUCUGACAUUGAGGCACGAAAGCGUGGGGAGCAAACAGGAUUAGAUACCCCAGUAGUC
This 460-nucleotide ribosomal RNA is filed under the name uncultured bacterium. RNAcentral describes it as "partial 16S ribosomal RNA". It matches the Rfam family "Bacterial small subunit ribosomal RNA", at positions 338 to 795 of the family's 1533-position model. The record is from RNAcentral.